RNAcentral lists this ribosomal RNA (223 nucleotides) under uncultured bacterium. Its description in RNAcentral is "partial 16S ribosomal RNA". It matches the Rfam family "Bacterial small subunit ribosomal RNA", at positions 111 to 334 of the family's 1533-position model. The record is from RNAcentral.
UAACGCGUGGAUAACCUGCCUCACACUGGGGGAUAACAGUUAGAAAUGACUGCAAAUACCGCAUAAGCGCACAGUGCCGCAUGGCAGUGUGUGAAAAACUCCGGUGGUGUGAGAUGGAUCCGCGUCUGAUUAGCCAGUUGGCGGGGUAACGGCCCACCAAAGCGACGAUCAGUAGCCGACCUGAGAGGGUGACCGGCCACAUUGGGACUGAGACACGGCCCAA